GUACGCUUGUUUGCCGACCUAGUGAUAUAAAAAAAAUUAUAAAAAAGCAUCCAUACUCAUAAUGCAAUGUAUAUAAACGAUAUGAAAAUAUUUUUGUAAAACAACGACUUUUUCAGCUACACACCACAAAGGAACGUUUUAAGUGAAAUUGGAUGGCAAUAAACAUGUAAAUCAAAGAGUACACGUGUCCACGCAAUCACAUCUAGGUGCAGUAUUUUUACGUUAGUUCCGCCUCACUAUUUUUUAUCUAUUAUAAUUGUGUUUGCUCGCAAAAAAAAAACCGACUUCAAUUACAUAGACAAGUAAUACAACGUAAGUAGACGAAAAAAAAUUAACAAAAGCACUAGUCGUCACUACGAGGGUUUCCCUCGAUUUCGGGUCGGCAACGAUGCGAUGUUUCUAGUGUUGCAGAUGUCUAUCAGCUACGGUAAUCGCUUACCAUCAGAUGAGCCGCACGCUUGUUUGCCGGAUUAGUUUUAUAAAACUAAAAAAUGCAUUUUUAAUAGAAUUCAAAUAAUAUGUCUAAUUUAAUAUUACGUAAAGACGUUAGAAUUUUAACGCCAACUUCGUUAGAAUUGUGUUGGUAAUCUACAGCUAGUAAGAGAUAAGACUACGGGAUUCCCAUAACGGGAAUCGCCUUCAAAUCACGUUUU
Molecule: unclassified non-coding RNA, 653 nt
Filed under: Melitaea cinxia (Glanville fritillary)
Lineage: Eukaryota; Metazoa; Arthropoda; Insecta; Lepidoptera; Nymphalidae
Description: misc RNA ENSMCXG00005006893.1
Source: RNAcentral